UGGCUCAGAAUGAACGUUGGCGGCGUGGAUUAGGCAUGCAAGUCGUACGGGCAGCUUUUAGCAAUAAAAGCUGUCAGUGGCGAAAGGGAGAGUAAUGCGUGGAUAACGUACCCCCAGGACUGGGAUAGGGGCGGGAAACCGCCGGUAAUACCAGAUAAUGUCUCCGGACCAAAGGUGCGAUUCCGCCUGGGGAGCGGUCCACGUGCUAUUAGCUAGUUGGUAGGGUAAUGGCCUACCAAGGCUGUGAUGGCUAGCGGGUGUGAGAGCAUGGCCCGCCUCACUGGGACUGAGACACUGCCCAGACACCUCCGGGUGGCUGCAGUCGAGAAUCUUCGGCAAUGGGCGCAAGCCUGACCGAGCGACGCCGCGUGCGGGAUGAAGGCCUUCGGGUUGUAAACCGCUGUCAGAGGGGAGCAAAUGUUCGGGGGUUCUCCCCUGAACUUGAGCGAUCCUCAGAGGAAGCACGGGCUAAGUUCGUGCCAGCAGCCGCGGUAAGACGAACCGUGCGAACGUUAUUCGGAAUUACUGGGCUUAAAGGGUGCGUAGGCGGCUCAGUAAGUUGGGUGUGAAAGCCCUCGGCUCAACCGAGGAAUUGCGCCCAAAACUGCUGGGCUAGAGUGAGUCAGAGGAGAGCGGAACUCACAGUGGAGCGGUGAAAUGCGUUGAUAUUGUGAGGAACACCAGUGGCGAAAGCGGCUCUCUGGGGCUCUACUGACGCUGAAGCACGAAAGCUAGGGGAGCAAACGGGAUUAGAUACCCCGGUAGUCCUAGCCGUAAACGAUGAGCACUAGGUCGAGGGA
Molecule: ribosomal RNA, 800 nt
Filed under: uncultured bacterium
Lineage: Bacteria
Description: bacterial SSU rRNA
Rfam family: Bacterial small subunit ribosomal RNA
Source: RNAcentral